AAUAAAAUAAGGGCUUCUUCAAUCGAUGCCCGAGGCGACAGGUAGGCGCAAAUAACAUGAUAAACCUAAGUAAACUGUUUUUUUUGGCUGUUCUUUCACAACUCCAGGUGAUCUGUAUCACUCUUCCUUGUUCAUCUUCAUAAGAAGCUUGUAAUGGAAGUGGUGGUGAUGAGAUUGUGAUGGACGUGCUGCUACCUGAGGUGAAGAAGAAGAAGAGAAAGAAGAAAAGGAAUUAACCUGGGACUAUCCUUGGGACAUCAAGAGGUGGCAUCAUACCACGAAGAUAGUUGACAGCAUUCAAGACCGGGGCAUUAACCAGGAGCACGCAUGUGAGGCACGCAAAGAAGCUGUUGUUAGGGGCAAGGGAUUCAAUUGUUAACAUCAGAUGUCAUAUGCGCAAGAUGGGAGAUGAAGCUGUGACCGGUAAGCACUGCAAAUAGAAGAAAUAGUCGGGGAAGAACAAAGGAAACUGAUUAUCCUAGUACACACAAGAGAAAAAUAUUUUCAACUUAAGAAUGAAGUUAUUCUACAUUCCAGAGACUAAUUUUACUACAAAUCUACUUCUGAACAAAUAACCGCUGCAGUAUGUAUAUUUCAGAGGUUGAAAACAAUUUGACCAGUACUGAGUUUUGUAGUAUGUAAAUCUAGAAGCAAAAGCACAAUCAGAAUGGAA
Molecule: long non-coding RNA, 673 nt
Organism: Papaver somniferum (opium poppy)
Lineage: Eukaryota; Viridiplantae; Streptophyta; Magnoliopsida; Ranunculales; Papaveraceae
Exons: 4
Source: RefSeq, a predicted model, not a curated record